GUGGAGCCGUAGGGAACCAAGUCUUAAGAGGGCCAGAGUCAGUAGGAGUAGACCCGAAACCGGGUGAUCUAUCCAUGUCCAGGUUGAAGCUGCCGUAAGAGGUAGUGGAGGACCGAACCCACAUCCGUUGAAAAGGUGGGGAUGAGGUGUGGAUAGGGGAGAAAUUCCAAUCGAACCCGGAGAUAGCUGGUUCUCCUCGAAAUAGCUUUAGGGCUAGCCUCGAUACAGAUUUGCGGAGGUAGAGCACUGAAUUUCCUAGGGGGCGUCAAAGCCUACCGAAGAAUAUCAAACUCCGAAUGCCGCGUAAUCGAUUAUCGGGAGUCAGACUGCACGAGAUAAGUUGGGCGGUCAAAAGGGAAAGAGCCCAGACCUUCAGUUAAGGUCCCAAAGUGCGCGUUAAGUGGAAAAGGAUGUGGGAUUUCGAAGACAACCAGGAUGUUGGCUCAGAAGCAGCCAUCCAUUCAAAGAGUGCGUAAUAGCUCACUGGUCGAGAGGUCCUGCGCCGAAAAUGUCCGGGGC
RNAcentral lists this ribosomal RNA (519 nucleotides) under uncultured bacterium. RNAcentral's name for it is "bacterial LSU rRNA". It matches the Rfam family "Bacterial large subunit ribosomal RNA", at positions 660 to 1181 of the family's 2925-position model. The record is from RNAcentral.